ACGAAUCCUUGUGAGACCGGGUUGGCACAUGUAUUCCCAAAAAGGUGGCAGCGAACAGUCCCGUGUGCUCACACAAGCUGCAUGGUCUUCUUUCAGCUCAGUUCAAAAGUGUCAUGUACUUUUUUUUAGAUCCAGUGAGCUGGGUAAGUCGGGACUUUUGAAGACUUUGGUGGGUUGGAACACUGUGGUCAGAUGUAUGUGUGUCUGCAUUGAUGUCAAGGCACAUUUGAAAGGAAACGUAGGAAAACCAGAAUCACAAAGCUUGGUGGCAAAAGAAACUAAACACAGUUUUGCGGUUUGAUAGCAAGUUGGUGAGUGUAUUAUAUGACGAAACAAGGAAUUUGAGACUUCUUAAACUUAAAUAAAUAAAAAUGUAUAUAAAUAUAAGAUGUGACAUCUUCAUUAGGUGCAAAGUAAUCUAAUAAACCUACUUUAUGAUAUCAGAGGUGCUAAUCCAAUUAUAUUUACUCCACCAAGGAACAUGAUGGAGUUAUGUGACGAUCAGCAUACAUUUGUCUGUCUGUUCGCAACAUUACGGAUAAAUGGAUUUGGAUGAAAUUUUCAGCAGAAUAAGACAACGGUGAUGAGUGAGUGGGAGCGAAUUGGGACAAAGUGGUAUUCUUAAUGUAGUGGAGAAAACGUUUGGAGUAUCUCCUAGAUCUAAGACUAUGAAAUAAAGUAGAAGUUGCUGCAUGAAAAUCAUCUAUAUUAGAACAAAUGCGAAGAAACCCAUCAACUGGGAUUUAAUGAUGCCCCUGAAUGUAUGUUUGGGGUGGUAACUCCGUUUAUGUUAUAAAGCAUGAAUAUCAGUGAGUUUAAAGUAAACCUUGGUCUGUAAGCUCUUCGAAGUGUUAUUGAUAGGUUUAAAAAGACAGUUGUAUACAGGAAAUUAAUUUGUGAUGGAUCGAUAGUAUAUUUAACUUUAAUUGAAGAAUGAUGAUUAUUAAGAAUGUCUAUGAAAACAGGAAAUUAUGUGAUGUCAUAUGGCCAGAUACCAAAAAUAUCAUCCAGGAACCUAAGAUAAAUGGAAGGUUUUAACGGACAUUUAUACAAGGCCUCUCGCUCCCACUCACUCAUAUAAAGAUUUGCAUAAGAUGGAGCAAAAUGCUGGCCCAUGGCUGUCCCAUGGACCUGGAGGAAAAAUUGAUUGUUAAAUAAGAAGUCAUUACUACUUAAACAAAGUUCAAUAAGUUGUAAAAGAUGUUGGUCCGGUCUAGUCGGAUCUGGAUUUUUGUUAAAAAUAGACUGUAAAAUUUGUAGACCCAAAGGGGUACUGAUGUUGGUAAACAGACUCUCUAUAUCAAUUAUAAAUAGAUAGGCUUGCUUAGGGACAUGCAUGGACCUGAUGAUAUCUAAAAAGUGAUGGGUAUCCUUCAAAUGACUAGGUGGUCGAGUGGAGAGGGGUCUUAGAAAAUGAUCAAUGUAUUGUGAAACAUGAUAAGUCACACUAUUACAGUCUGAAACUAUGGGUCUCCCAGGGGGAACCUCAUAGGGAAUGGUCCAAGAUUGGGGAUCCUUAUGUAUUUUAGAAAGCAAAAAGAAAUAACAGGGUCGAGGAUUGUGUGGUCCCGAUAAAAAAAUCUCUCUGUUUAGCUGAAAUGAAUUUUUGAACAUAUAAGGAAUGAACAAUCUACCUAAGUUUAGUGUGAGUCUGAGCCUGAAUAGAGUUAUCCAAUCGUCUAUAAUACCUGUCAUUGUUUAGUUGUUGAUGAGCUUCCCAAAGAUGUUGUCGAUCGAGAAUGACAAUUUUGGAGCCUUUAUCGGCAGGUUUUAUUAUAAUGUUUGGGUUAUAAACCAACUGAGCAAAUGCUUGUCUUUUCGUUUUUGUUAAAUUAUCCGUAGUGUUAGAUCGAAAUCUAAAACAUCGCAGAGUUUGUUUAUUUUUAGUGAUGGAUGUACGAGUGAGUGAAUUAAGACCUGAGGGAUCUGGUUCCCAAUGUGAUUGAUGUGUAAAUAAUUUCUGUUGUUGCCUAUAAGGAUUAAGAUGUAAAUAGUCAAUAAUGGCCAACAGUCGAUGGAAAAGAUGGAGGUCCCUAUGAGUUCCUUCUGAUCGAAAGACAUGGGUUUGGGAAUGAAAGAGAGGCCCCUCUCCAAAAGCUGUCAUUGAGAUUUAGUAGGAAAAAAGAGAGUAGCCAAAUUAAGAAUGCUAGAAGAGGAGUUCCAGCCCAGGUCCCCACCCCACUCUAUAUGUUGUUUAUAUGUGUGUGGUGACUGAUUGGUCAUAGUGUUUACUGUAAAUUUAGUUGCAUGCACCAAUGAUCCAAGAUUUUUUUGAGCUGUAGCAGACGUCCAAUGUAUAUUAUCCUUGUCUGUUUCAAACAUAUGUUGAGGAAUAGCUGUGAGAGUUGGAAAAUGUGCAGCUAUAGUCUCAUUAAUGAAUUUAAGAUUAGCUUGUUGUGUAGUAGUAAGGUGAAUGGAAUAAUUAAUGGUGGCAAAAUAAAUGUCUGCAUUAGGGAAAGUCAAUCCUGCCUGCCGGAGUAAUGAUUUGAGUUUUUUAAUUGUUGUCUGUCUGGGAUCCUGGUCCUUAUUGUUAAUGCCCACUGAGAAGACCACAAUUUUGGUAGUCGGAUGGAUCAAGGUCUUCUAGCAAAGUUCCAAAAAAUGGUAUGCUGUUGCUCUAGAAUAGCUAUCAAGUUGGAGAUUAGGGUAUCGAUGAGUCACGGGCCUGCCGCGUUCCUGACUCCGCCAGGGUCUAGGGUAUAGGAUUAGGUCUAGGAUUAGAGUUAAAGUCAAACACUACUGUAAUAUUAUGAGAUUGGGGUUAAGGUUAGGGUCAGGGUUAGGAUUACAAAGGUUGGGUUAGAGUGAAAGACAGGCAUUAUUAUAAAAGUAUAGGGUUGGGGUUAAGGUUAGGUUAGGGGACCAAAGUGUUAGACAUAAACAUUGUGAAUGGGCACAGAUCUAUGAAUCAUAUUAUUUUUGUUUCCUUUUUUGAUAACUAUGUUGUUGGAAAAUAAAAUUAUGUGGAAAAUUUAGAGAAAAAAAGGAGAAAAAAGAAAAGAAAGAAAAAAGGGGAGGGGUAAGAAGCGAAAAGUGUGUGUGGAGAUAUGAUAUUUGUGUAUAUAUUAAAUGUGUAAAAUGAAUAUUCUGAAGUUAUGAUUUACUGACAGGACGGACCCCAGAGCAGCCCCUAAUAAAAGAGGAGACCCUGUUGGCAACAAAGGUAUCCAAGCGACUUGCCAUGAUAGCAGCUGUAAGCUCCAUGCGAAGUAUUGAAACCGACUUCAAAGGAGACACUCUGGAGUUUCCCAUGACAAAGCUGCUAUGCACCUGUGAGUGUGCAUUCUGCAAAAGUAGCACAACUUGGUGAAGAAGUCGCACCAAAAAGAUGUACCAUCAUUCUGAAGUCCACCAAGUCUCGGGCAAAAUCACCAUUGGGCCACCAAAGAAACAUCAAAAGGUAAACAUCUUCCCUUGGUACCCUUACUUGAUGAAACAUAGACUCUAUGUCUGCCAUGAGCACCACCGGUUCCUUCCUGAAUCUGGCCAAGACACCAAUCAGCGAGCUAGUGAGAUCUGGCCCUUGCAGCAGCUGUGAAGUGAACUGAAAAGUGGCUGCACAGUCAAAAAACAUGCAAAUUUUCUCCUUUUGAGGGUGAUAAACACCAUGGUGUGGGAUAUACCACAGUCUCCCAUCACUACGUGCCAGCUCACCGACAGGUACUUGUUCUGCGUAUCCUUUGGUGAUCAUGUCAUUCAUAAAAUCUGUGUACUGCUGUCGAAAUGAUGAGUCCCUUUUGAACCUCCUCUUCAGGUUCAGAGCACGCUGCUCUGCGCCGUUCCUAUUGUUAGGCAUGCUCACACAAUUUUUCCUCAGAGGCAAUGCAAUCUGAUAAUGGCCAUCCACAAGUUUAGCUGAAUCCCGGACCAGCUUCAUGAACCUUUGAUCUUCCCUCGACAGACCAGGUUGUUCAUCAUAGCCACAUUCUGGGAAAUCUGUUCUGAGCUGCUGUUGCCAAAGCUCCUCCAAAUUCAGGACUAAGAUCCUAUUAAUGGUGGCAACUUCAAUUCCAUCACCACUGUCCCCUCCCAGUGGCCCAUUAACAGUCCAUCCCAGAACAGUCCUAAUGGCAUAGGGUCCACUGCCCACACUACGGAUGACUUGCAGUGGUUCCAGUGCUUUUGGUACAUUUGUUCCAAUUAAUAGCUCAACUUUGGAGUCAAUCUCCGGUAAGUGAACAUCUCCCAAGUGAGGCCACCUCUGUUUCCUUUAUGUACUGGCAUACGCUCCUGGGUGUAGGUAUUAGGCAGAUCACAAUAUGUCUCACCAUGUAAGCCAGCCACCUCCAGUCCUACAAUCACAUAGCUAUUAACAACCUUCUCUUGACCCAUUGUCCGUAAAAGAAUUUGUGUCCUUUUUCCUGAGAGGUUGAGCUUGUUCAUGAGGUUAACUGUGCAGAAAACAGCCAUGCUACCCUGAUUGAAGAACGCGUAAGUAACAACUGUGCGGUUACUUUUAUUGGGUUUAAUCCGCACUGGAACUAUAGGUAGUUUGCAGUCACGCCUCCAGUCUCAGUAAACCCACUGGAUAGCAGAGCACAGCCCACUGCCGUGCCUGGUUCUCAUUGGUCACUGGAUCCUUUUCCUUAGAAUGAAUGUGAAGUAUUGUGGGGUGUUUUAAGCUGCACACUUUCCAUGAGAGAUGCUUUCGACAAUCCUUGCUGAUGUGUCCUGUACACAAACAGCCAAAGCACACUCCCUUUUCCCUUAAAAAAGUGAUCUUCUCAGCAUGAGCCCUCUUUUCCAUUCGAUCACAAAACUCCAAAGUGUGUCCACCCUCACAAAGCAAACAGACCUUCUUGACUGAUGAAAUCAUAUCUGAUCUUGUUGUGUAAAAAUUGAUCUAUUACAGUCACAAAUCUAUAAAUGUGUGUGUUGAAUCUGAUGUACUGGCCCUGUAACCUGUACUGCAUUGAUUUACCUGGUAACUAUUGAAAACAGUGUAGAUAAAAAAUAAAGAAGGCAUGAGACUGGUGUUGGCAUGAAGCCAAAGGGAGGACCUCUGCCUCUGGGGAAUUGCCAGCCCAGUCUAAAAUUUUUAAUUAAAAUUUAGGGAGUAUCAGACUCUAUUAAAAAUUAAACCGAUGAGCUAAUGGUGAAAAGCGAAAGUUGGCGAAGGUAAAAGUAGGAUGGGCUGGGGGAGUGGAAAUACCCCAGCCCAGAUAGUAUAAAAGGCUGUACAUUCUGGCAGAAAGUCAGAAUCUGUUCCCAGGGCGAUUCUCAGUGUUUUGACCUGUCUUGUACAGAAAUAAACACUUUUUUCCUUGGCAUCUGAA
This is a long non-coding RNA of Acanthochromis polyacanthus (spiny chromis), 5276 nucleotides long. RefSeq lists it as uncharacterized. The record is from RefSeq and is a predicted model, not a curated record. Lineage: Eukaryota; Metazoa; Chordata; Actinopteri; Pomacentridae. The transcript is spliced from 3 exons.